AAUGAACGUUGGCGGCGUGGAUUAGGCAUGCAAGUCGUACGAGAAGCUUUUUUGCUUGCAUUAAAAGCGGACAGUGGCGAAAGGGAGAGUAACGCGUGGAUAUUUACCCCGGGGUCUGGGAUAGCUGCGAGAAAUUGCAGGUAAUACCGGAUAACGUUUCCGAACCAAGGUGUGAUUCCGCCUUGGGAUAAGUCCGCGUCCUACUAGCUUGUUGGUGAGGUAAUGGCUCACCAAGGCCAAGAUGGGUAGCGGGUGUGAGAGCAUGGCCCGUCUCACUGGGACUGAGACACUGCCCAGACACCUACGGGUGGCUGCAGUCGAGAUUCCGCAAUGGGCGAAAGCCUGACGGAGCGACGCCGCGUGCGGGAUGAAGGCCCUCGGGUUGUAAACCGCU
Molecule: ribosomal RNA, 394 nt
Filed under: uncultured bacterium
Lineage: Bacteria
Description: bacterial SSU rRNA
Rfam family: Bacterial small subunit ribosomal RNA
Source: RNAcentral